This 253-nucleotide ribosomal RNA is filed under the name uncultured bacterium. Its description in RNAcentral is "partial 16S ribosomal RNA". It matches the Rfam family "Bacterial small subunit ribosomal RNA", at positions 524 to 776 of the family's 1533-position model. The record is from RNAcentral.
UACGUAGGGUGCGAGCGUUGUCCGGAAUCACUGGGCGUAAAGCGCACGUAGGCGGAUCUUUAAGUCGGGGGUGAAAUCCUGGAGCUCAACUCCAGAACUGCCUUCGAUACUGAAGAUCUCGAGUCCGGGAGAGGUGAGCGGAACUGCGAGUGUAGAGGUGAAAUUCGUAGAUAUUCGCAAGAACACCAGUGGCGAAGGCGGCUCACUGGCCCGGUACUGACGCUGAGGUGCGAAAGCGUGGGGAGCAAACAGG